Molecule: long non-coding RNA, 2521 nt
Organism: Gallus gallus (chicken)
Lineage: Eukaryota; Metazoa; Chordata; Aves; Galliformes; Phasianidae
Exons: 4
Source: RefSeq, a predicted model, not a curated record
ACUGGAGAAAAAGCACGGUGAAGUGCAGGUGGGAAAUGCAUAAAGCAGCUUUCACCGUGGUGUAAUUGGGAGGGCUAACUUUAUUCUGCUGUGCAGUUUAUCUCAGCAAGCUCUGCCUUUUCCUAAUACGACUGCGACGUGCCAAGGCGUUCCAGGAAAAACAAAACAGAACGUGAAACCACCUCACUUACAGGGAUGAUGCAGACUAAGUUCAGAAGAGACGAGGAAGACUUAGGGUUUUGCUCAGGCAUAACAGAUAUGUCUAAGCAUCAGUCAUCAAUUCUGCCACCACUCGUAAAAGGUGCAACACCGAUACAUUCACUCAGAGACAGCUGGGAGUCACUUUUCUGGUUUCUGAGAUACAAGCAGCAUCAGAUACAGACACAAAUCACGCCUAGAUUGCAGAGGAGGAAGACAAAGCUUGUUGGGAAAACAAGGUGUAUGCCCUCCCCCGUGCAAGCAAGGAUACAGACAGGUCUUCUAAAGAUGGCUGGGAAUCAGACAGUCUGUGUUUCUGCUAAGGACUGACUUCCUGACUACCCUUGCACAAAUCUCACCCACCUCACAUCCCAUUUCGGAGCUUCAGAAUGAAAAUGCUACUUUUGUCUUCCUGCCAUCUUAGUUGGAAUGCAAAUCUGAUGAGUUCUUCAGUCUUUCCCAGCUGUCAUUCCACAAUGAAAAAUGAUGGACUGGAGAGAAAGGAAUGUUAUAGCCUUCAUUUCCUCAGUAGCCUCCUUUAUAAGAACAGAAUCUGGCCUGGCAGUCCUCCUUCAUAAAAUGUAGUAGGACCUGACUGACACUACAGGAGUUAUCACAUUUGAGUUGCAGCUUGGACCACUGUAAUUCAUAACAAAACUCUGCCUUCUCACAUUUUUAAAAUAAGACAAAGUCAAAAUACUUGCAUAUCAUAAUUCAUGUACUGUCCUGUUGCUAUUUUAUCACUAGAAUUUGACAGCAGGGGCUGCCUCAAGCACUGAAGUCUUCACUGUAGCAAUUACUGUGCAGUUGCUUUCAGAAACAGCAGAAGAGCAACAAAAGCCAUCUUGUGACAAAAACAGGGACAAAGCUACCAGAAAUUUGAUAGCUCUACCCUGUUUUGUUUAGAUAAGCCCAUAUCACCCCUCAUGCUCAGCUACCAUUGGCUUUCUAUAUUUACUUCUGCAUUUCAUUUUCACUUCUUUAAGUUGACUUAUUGCACAGCCGUGUGUUCGCUCAUAGCAGCCCCCAGGACAGGUGGGGAAUAGCCACCUCAGUACAGCCAGGGAAGGGCCACACUUCUAGGAUGCGGUGUAGAAAAACAUCGCAUUACUGAUGAAUGCUAAGAAUAGCUUGAAUGGCAAUUAAAAAGACAAGCACAAGGAUUUCAGUGAGCUGUAAGGCCUUUUUAACAGCAGUGUUAAGAUCUUAUGUUAAGUUGAAAUACAAUAAUUGCAGAUGCCUGAAAGCUGUACAAGUUAUUCUAUAGCUGCUGAGCUUCAUUUUGCCAACAUGCAAUAAGGACUAGCUGCUCCUUUACAAGAAACCAGGUACAGUAACAAGGCUAGAAGCACUAGCCUCCUAUUACCUGAGCAAGGCUGGCUUAAUAACAGCAAGCUGAUUUAAUCAAGUAUCCAGAUUAUCCAGCAACUUGCAGUGAUGAUGCAGGCCCAAGGUCAAGCCAGGAAAUCAAUCUACAGGUCAGGUCAAAUCCAGUGGGACCAACCACAGUCAGACAAAACUCAGUAAGUACUCAGCAGAUGCAAGAUGACAGAAUAAGCCCAAAAUCAAGAUAAAAAUUCACCUUGUAGAUCAGCCAGGAAGUCUGUGACUGAUUUAGAGAUCAGCACUAAUGCAACAAAGCCCAAAGAUCACAAAGAACUAAACCUGAGUUUAAGGAUUGCUCCUGGGCUGAGGGCCAGAGGGUGUGGGUCUCAGGUGAGGUUGGUUAGUCACAUUUCAUUCAUUUACAGUAAACAAAAGAAACCCAGCACCACCCUUCUUCAGCAAAUCCAGUUUCUCUAUCACUGUAUUUAUAAAAAAAACAAAGAUUUCUGAAGAAGUGUAUUGCCUCAAAUGGAUAUCACAGGACUACCUAGGCUCCAUUGCUCUGCAAUCUAAUUUUCAAGCAGUUGUUGGCAUAGCUGGCUCUGCCCAGGACUAGUGACUCCUCAGCAGGCAAUCACAUUGCUCUCAGCCUACUGACAAGCUCUGAACUGUGCUCAUCUGCAGCCAUUUCAGCUGCUUCUGGGAAAAUCACAGGAGCACUGUGUGUUGCUUGAAUUGGUGUGGCCAGUUCUGUUGCUCCUAACAAUAUCCAGCAGCACCUUGCGGACCAGACUAUGUCUAUGUCCUCCUCAAAUCAUGGGUCUUAAUGAUGUCUCCACUAGGGAAUCCACGAGAGCAAUGUGUUGGAGAUUCUUGGCUAUUAUCCCCAUCUGUUUUAUUACAUAUAUAUUUUUUUAAUAUCGUUGCUUAAAAAUGCAUUUCCUAGAGAUAUUAGCAAUUAAUUGCUAUCUACUAGAUAAUAUAAUUAAUCAUAAAA